GGCGGAGUAGCUCAGUUGGUUAGAGCAGCGGAAUCAUAAUCCACGUGGGGGGGGUUGAGUCCAUCCUCCGCUA
This 73-nucleotide transfer RNA is filed under the name Planctomycetaceae bacterium. RNAcentral's name for it is "tRNA-Met". It matches the Rfam family "tRNA". From Rfam's summary of the family: Transfer RNA (tRNA) molecules are approximately 80 nucleotides in length. Their secondary structure includes four short double-helical elements and three loops (D, anti-codon, and T loops). The record is from RNAcentral. Lineage: Bacteria; Pseudomonadati; Planctomycetota; Planctomycetia; Planctomycetales; Planctomycetaceae.